AUGAAGCUGCACACACAGAUCCUUGCGGUGGCUCCCCUCCCAGACCCCAGGCCAGGGUCCCGCCCUGCCCUGCCCUGCCCUGCCCUGCCCUCCCCUCCGGGGCCCCAUCUUACUCCAAGUCCCUCACUUCUCAGCGUCUCCCAACUUGCAGGGCAAAAAGCGAUUCUCCCAAAAGCCCGUCCCAGACUCCCGCCCCCUGUCACCGUCCCCUGGAAGGGGCAGGCCUGGCGCCCCAGGAGCGUGGAAGUGCCCGCCGGCUCCGUUCCCCUCCGAGCCUCCCUGGGGACACGUCCUCUGCUUUUGUUUGGGUUCGUCUUCUUCCCCUUGGGAUGCAGGGGUUCCGAGACGAAGUUUCCGGUUCGGCAGCAGCCGGGGGCGGCCCAUCCCCCACGGCCCUGGGGAGCGCGAGCAGCCUCCGGCCCGGGGCCCAGCCCGCCGCCCGCCCGCCCGCCCGGCCCGGCCGCCCCCGCCCCGCCCCGCCCCGCCCCGCCCCGAGGGCUUCCCCGCGGCGCCCCCGCCCCGCCCCGCCCCGCCCCCACCCCGCGCCCCGGGCAGGAACGGCCCUCCGCGCCUCGGCUCCGGAGGGGAGCGCCCGGGAGCCGGCGGGCCCGGGCUCCACUCACCCCUCAGCCCGGGAGGCGGGGGAGCUGCUGCGGCGGCUCCUCGGGCGGCGCCUUCCUCCCCCCUCCCGGCUCCGCCUCCGGCCUGCUCCCGGCCGGCCCCGGCCCCGCGCCGCUGCACCGCGUCCCCCGCUCCGGCCGCCGGGGCCCAGUGUCCUGCCUUGACCCGGAAGCAGCUCUCACGGCCCCACAACAACACGUGACCCCGCCGCACGUGUCACGUCCGCUGCGUGCAGGGGAGGGGGGCCCGGGGGAGCGCGGCCGCCGCCGUCGGCCUCGGGUUGCCAUGGCGACGGGGCGGGGCACCUGCCCUUGCCCUCGGCCUCGCGGAGGGGCGCCCUCGGCGCCAAGGAGGGGUGAACCGCCCCAGCAGGGUGAGGUAGGGGCGAGCGGCGCGGAGCCUGGGCGGCCGAGAGGCAGCUGCCUUCCACUCGGGGCGUUGGCCCGACCCUCCGCGGGCUCACCUGCCUCUGUCGACCCCGAUCAGCUCACCCCCCGCCUCUGCCUGCGGUUUCCUCGCGAGGAGCACCUUCUAGGUACUGGGCCCUGUGCGUCGGCUCUUUCUAAGUUUUACAACUUGCAAGAGUGA
This 1209-nucleotide long non-coding RNA is filed under the name Canis lupus familiaris (dog). RNAcentral describes it as "lncRNA (ENSCAFG00040016547.1)". The record is from RNAcentral. Lineage: Eukaryota; Metazoa; Chordata; Mammalia; Carnivora; Canidae.